UCUGUUUGGGUGGGGGCUUGGUUGUGCUCAGCUUAGUCUGAGUUGCAGGGGGAUUUGAGCUGGUGAGCUGCAUUGUUGUUGUUUGGCUUCGUGUUUGUGGCCGUGCGAGCUCUUCAUGAAAUGAUCUUUUCUCUAGAAAUCUGACUUUCUACCAGAAGGAAAAAAUGGCCUUUAGAGCUACUGUUUCGGGUUUUUUUUAAUUUCCCUUUUGCAACAGCAGUGAGGAAGGCAGACAACAAUCUCAGGAUGACAAAUUUAUCACAUUUUGAAGUUGAGAAGUCAAAGAAAAGAUGUCAUACAUUGCGUGAAAAACAUUUUUUUCAAGAAUAUGUUAUUAGGGCAAUCUUUUCCUGAAAAGUAGAAUUAAGUACGUGUUUAGAAUAUGUGCCUCAAAAUAAAUGACAAUAAACUGA
This is a non-coding RNA of Pantherophis guttatus, 413 nucleotides long. NCBI's taxonomy places the organism in Eukaryota, Metazoa, Chordata, Lepidosauria, Squamata, Colubridae. The record is from RefSeq and is a predicted model, not a curated record.